AACGCACAUUGCGCCCUCUGGUAUUCCGGGGGGCAUGCCUGUUCGAGCGUCAUUACAACCCUCAAGCUCUGCUUGGUAUUGGGUGUCACUGUUUUGGUGCACCCUAAAAUCAGUGGCGGUGCCACCUGGCUUCUAGCGUAGUAAUACUUCUCGCUAUGGAGUUUAGGUGUAUGCUUGCCAUCAACCCCCAAUUUCAAAUGGUUGACCUCGGAUCAGGUAGGGAUACCCGCUGAACUUAA
This 239-nucleotide unclassified non-coding RNA is filed under the name Umbelopsis sp. RNAcentral describes it as "partial contains 5.8S ribosomal RNA, internal transcribed spacer 2, and large subunit ribosomal RNA". The stretch from base 1 to 52 matches the Rfam family "5.8S ribosomal RNA", at positions 103 to 154 of the family's 154-position model. Lineage: Eukaryota; Fungi; Mucoromycota; Umbelopsidomycetes; Umbelopsidales; Umbelopsidaceae. The record is from RNAcentral. RNAcentral also lists the same sequence under 1 other name.